AUGGAAACCGCGCCUCCCAACUACGAAUCGUAAGCCCUACUUACUACGCUGCCGCGACGGGUGAUAAUUUUAUUUGAUAGUGAAUGCCACUUUUUUAUUUUUAAAAGAGACAUGUCCACGUGUUGUGGAUUCCGGAAAUUUAUGUGUUUGUUGUGCCAGACGUUUCCGGUUUCUUUGUCUCGUGGAUUUCGUUCAGGUGUACCCGCUAGACUUAUUUUGAAUUUUCCAGUACCUCGUGGCACGAAACUUGAAAAUACAUCUUCAACUUGUUGUCCAGACUAUCGAUUCGUCAAUGGAAUAUGUAUAGAUUGUCCGUUGGGAUACUUUGGACCCAAUUGUGCAUACAGCUGUUCAUAUCCAUAUUAUGGACGGCGUUGUCAUGAAAAGUGUAUGUGUGAUAAAGACAAAUGUGACAUUUCAUUUGGAUGUGCAUCAAGCAAACAGUUGCCCUCAGAUAUUGCAUCUUUUACAACGACGAAUAUUCCAAAGUCAAAAAACGAAUCUACUUCUGGACAACAAAGUAUCAAUAAUUCAAAACAUCCUGAAGAAAAUGGAAACAGUCCUGAAGAGAUUAAAAACGGUUCAGCGGAUAAAACCGGUUCAGCGGCUGUCAUCGCCGUCAUAUCAGUUAUCGGUGUUCUUGUCAUCAGUUUGCUUGUAACAAUUAUAAUCUUCCAACUCAGAGGGAAAAUACAUUUGCGUCUACAGAAAUCACCAAAUCGAGGCUCUAAUGUGACCAGUCAACGACACGUUGACACUUACUGUGAAAUUGACGACAAUGAGGCGACAGAGGGCGCCUGUAACAUGUGGAGUGAAUCUGAAAUUUACGAACAGAUCAACCAAUCACAGAAGGAUGCUACUAAAUACACAGCUCUACCGCCCCGUGAAGGCGUCUCAAAGAAGGAGAGGGCAAUAAUGUCUACUCUUUCUAUGCAGAAAAUACUGGAGGCAGACGAUGAUGAAGACACGUGUAAAACCGAAGUGCAAAUGAGAAAAGGCAAGAGCAAUGUUCAAGUUCCUCUAAACAGAACGGACAAAACUUCCACUCAAGUCAGUGGGUAUAUCGACAUGAAUAAAGAAAAAGAACUAGAGGAUUACGUUCACAUGGCCGCAGAAGAACGAGUAUCUGACAAAGAUUCACUGAGCAAAGACUGAUAAAGUAAUCUGGGGAUCAUGAAAAAGUGGUAGAUAGAAAGAAAAACAUACAUAUAAAAACUAUGUAUUUCAAUAACUUUAUUUACAUAUAUUGGAAUGUACAUAUUCUGCAGUUCAUUUAAUGAAAGAAAGGGAUGCGAUAUGAAACAAUUUAAUUUGAAAUAUCAUGAAAAAGUGAAGAUAACGAACAGAGAUCAAUCUCAGAAACUUUGUUGCAAAGUUUUAAGAGUAGGGCAAACAUGACCCUUGGACAUACCAGAGGUGGGAUCAGGUACCUAGGAGGAGUAACAUCCUCUGUUGACCGGUCACAUCUGCCAUGAGCCAUACAUAUUGAUCGGGUAAAGAGAGUAAUCCGUAGUCAAAAUCAGAGUGUAAAGAACGAUCUAACAAUUGGUGUGACACACGUCAGACAGCAUUCGACCUUGGUUAUUAUAUUGGGGACCAAACAAUGUAUUUCAAUAACUUUCUAGACAUGUAUCAGGAUUCAUAUUGUCUACAAUUCAUUCCCUGAAAGAAAGUGAUGUUGUUUAAUACUUGUGAUGAAGAUAGUAAUCCAGUUGACUUUUCAGUUAACAAUUGCACAUUAUGAAUAUAUGUAUUUGAUUAUUUAUUUCCUCAGUUCACAGUAUUCAUUGGCGAUUGAACAAAUGAUACUCAUAUAAAGUAAAUGUUAAUAAAUAUCAAUAAAUAAACAAAUGCACUGAUCGAUUAACCCACUUAUCCAAAUAUAAGUGUGUGUUAUUACCAUCACUUGGCGUACAUUUGUUGGCGUCAGUGUUUCAAAACAAAUGCAUUCAAAAUAUUUUCCAGACUGCUUGAAUUCCCAACAGGUCACCAAAUUCAAAUGUUAACGUUCUACGUUCUCAUGGUUCUGUAUCAACAUUCCGAUAUGACUCCGUGUUAGAAGUGAUCCUCAAUACCCCUGGCUUGUCGUAAGUGACGACUAAGUGGGAUGGUCCUUCGAUAAAGACAGCAAAAACCGAGGUCUCGUGUCACAGCAGGUGUGACGCAAUAUAGAUCCCUCCUUGCUCAACGACCGUAAGCGCCAAUCAUAGUCAUAGGCCUAAAUUUGCAGCCCAUCACCGGCAUUAGAGACGCUCCCGAUCUCGAGCGGGACCUUAAACAAUAUACAACCAAUCAAUGUGGCUAUCAUAGCUGUUGAUUGAAUUCUUCUCGAGAACGACUGCAUUCGUAAUCAUUCCAUCAGUUACAAAUUUUCUUCUGUAGUUCCGUAGAGAUAUUACUACUUUUCAUUGACCGAUAUGCGAAAAUACAUGGUAAUUCCUUUGUAUCAUCUAAGCAUAGCCUGCAGGACUUAUAACAAUGCGCCAAUGUUUUAUUUUUUUUUAGAUGUUCAAGACGAUACAAAUAUGUAUUUUCAGCAUAUAGCCCCGUCCUAGUAGAGGUAUCCAUGCUUAAUAUACUACUUAAUUCAACUACACUAGCGCAACGAGUAAUGUUAAUUUAGGUCAAUCAUUAAUUUUGUAUGGAUUAUAAUAGCGUCAUGAGUGCUUGAGGACAGAUUGAAAUCAUUGCAAGAGGCUAUUUAUGUUGAUAAUUUUCAUGCCCUUUUCUUUGUGUAAGUACAUGGAUAUAUUAAGAUGGUCAAAAUUACUCAUAACCAUGCAUUCAGUGGAUAAUACUUAAAAUCUAUAGCUUUCAUUUUUUUAAAUAAUUGGUUUGAAAAUCAUACUGUAAAUAUAUAGUAAGGGUUUUCAUGGAUAUACAUGGUCAUAAUUAUUGACAAGCAUGUACAUACCUGCUUGUAAUUAAUCAUAAACAUGUCGAUUGAACGAUUCAGUUGGACUUAAAUGAAUGAAAUAAAAAGUACCACUUGGGAGAUGAUGGGCGUUUAGGAAAUAUACCUAAUGGUUUCCGUUACAAUUAGCACUAAUUAACAUUAAUUACACUUGUAUUUGUACACACAUAGAUAGUUUGUGUAUUUACUUCAUGGCAAGGUGGAAUCCGUACAUUGUUUGCUAUGUUACACUUAUAAAUGUUGUAAGCUCAUGUAUUUAACUUCCCACUUUCUUGAAGUUAUUUAUAUAAUACUCAAACUAUUGACGUCUCCAUAUGCGUGAAAUAUUCUCCAGAGGGACGUUAAACAACAUACAAUCAACUCAAACUAUUGUUGAUUCAUAAGCAAAUACAUAACCAAGAGAGGAGUUACUCCAUUUAGGGUUAACAUAUGUUAUUCUGAAUUGGAGCAUCUAGUUUUGGACUGUGUAGGUCAAGGACUUUUCCACUGUUUAAGUCCGUUCUGGGUUAAGGAUGGCGGAUAAAAAGCGUACCCAGUGUAUGAAAGGUGAAGAUAACGAACAGUGAUCAAUCUCGUAACUCCUAUCAGGAAUACAAAAUAGAGAAUUGGGCAAAUACAGACCCCUGGACUUACCAGAGGUGGGAUUAGGUGCCUAGGAGGAUUAAGCAUCCACUGUCGACCAGUCACACCCGCCGUGUGAGCCCUAUGUCUUGAUCAGGUAAACGGAGUUAUCGGUAGUCAAAAUCAGUGUGCCAAGAACGGCCUAACCAUCGGUAUAUUGGCAAACUAGAUCAUUAUAAUGACCAUAUAAUUUGCGAAAUGCUUACUUUGAACGAGACUGUUGAAACCCCUGUAACAUCAACUUGUUGGUCAUCAACUUGUAUGUAUUGGAUCAGCUUACUGUAUUGUUGUAUCUAGUCCGGACUGUUCAUACUGUGGUGGCAUGAUAGAAAGCUUCGCAAAACGCGAUUAUGAACCCCUGUUCACCAUGAUCAGUGCAGUAGCCAAUCAAAAUGCUGAUUACAAUAGAGAUUGGUAAAUAGUCCAUUCAUAAACAGUUAAUUGUGACAUAUUGUUGCACUCCCUGUUAUGAUGUGUGUCAUUUUAUAAAAUGAGUACCAGCACAAGUAUUGGUUUUAAGAAAAUGUGGAAAAAAUCAUUGAAAGAAUUAAUUUGAGAUGAUAGAAAAUUUACUGGAUUUGGCGUAAAUGUUUUGUUCCACACUAAAGGCAUUGGUAUCAUUAACGUUAGUGUUACGGACAUGACAAUCAUAACGCUUAAAGCUAUCCUAGUGUGAAGACCUGUUUAGAAUUUGCCUUUUGCAAGUUGCAUUGUCAUUCAAAUUGGUUUUCAUUUUCUCUCCGUUUUUUUUUGUAUGCGAAAUUGUGAUAAAAUGUAUAUAGGUAUAAAUUAUGGUAAAUUGUGGAUGAUUGUAUAUUUAUGUGUCACUUGCGAUUUAUGUGCCUGUUCUACAUGGAUAUAUCAAACAGAGCAACGCAUGAUGUGAAUCCACAUGAGAUAAAAUACAUGCAUUAAAAUAUUUCAGUGCAGUUUCUGUUUCAAACUUGCACUGUAAGCAUUUAGUUUCAAAACACAUUUUAAAUCUGUUGUACUCAAUUUCUGCUUUGUAUAUCAACAUUUCGUCAGGUUUACCGAUCACUUUUACACAAAAGCUAAUAAAAACCGUAAUUAUGGGAGCUGAAUUUUGGUGCUGUUCUGUGAAUGCAUAUACAAUGAAAUUAAAUGUACUACAUGUACAUGUAUCUACACAACAUGUAAACGAAAUAUUCCCUUAUAAAAGUUAAACUCAUUUCGGUGAGAACAGUAGUUUACGUAUUGGUUAAACUGAUUUAACAUGGGAACUGAUCGUAAUUGUUGCUGUACAUGAUAAAUACAAAUAUCACUAUGGGUGUUUUUACUGACACCAUCAUGUCUGAUCCUGUGCAACAAUAAAGCUUUGAUCAUGAGUGCACACUAUCGAGGUCCUGUUUCGGAUACAUCAGAUUGCCUUUCAAUUCCAACUUUAUUAAAAAACAUUAUUUGAAAUCACGAGAUGCCUGACCUGUAUAUGUAUGAAAGAGCUUUACCUAAAGGGAAAUGAUGUAAGAUAAGUAUGUCUCCAAAUUCUAUUUUAGGAAUAUAAUCCUGUAUCAUUGAAAAGAGCAAAGGUAACUCUUGCAUUCGGUGAGAAUAUCCUUGCAGUAACUGUUGCGAAAAUUCAUUUCCUCAUUUUUGUUCAAACGAUAUUAUUAAAAUAUCAGCCUUGAUUAACUAUCUCCCAAAGCAAGCAUGUUUUCAACGGCUCUGAUGCUUUUGUGGAUAACAAAAGUUUUAAUUUCUCAACAGUCAUCUGUAGAAGAGAAUUGCUUAAAGUAAGAUAUUUAUAAUACAAUAUUUUUAGCAUGACAAUAUGUGGUAAUACAAAAAUACAGGUAGUUUGUACAUAGUAUAUGAGCUCAUUUGUUGAACAUUUAACCAUUUGUCGUGAUCAUGAAACAUCGAAGAAAUUUGCAGUUGAUUUACAUAUUUGUAGAACUGGUCAAGGAACAUCCUGUUGUGCGGACUAUUACAAUCUUGCGGGAAAAUGUGUUCCUUGUUCGUCGGGAAAAUUUGGACCCAACUGUAUACACACCUGUCAAUACCCAAAAUACGGACGCCGAUGUUUGGAGGGGACAUGUCAAUGCCCACGAGAGUUUUGUGAUCCAUCCCUUGGUUGUAGAGAACAAAAGCAAACAAAAGGAGUUCUCUCGACUCUGCUGACAAUGGAUUCCUUGUCUGUUUCAAAUUCUGAAUCAACUCUUGAUACAACAAAUGUAAACUCUGCAACCCAAUCGAAACCAGACCACACGAAAUAUAUCUCAAAUCCAAGUUCUUCCUUGGUGAUAAUCAUCAUUUCAGUAAUUGGUGUAAUCGUUGUCGGGUUAUUUGUUGCAGUUGUAUUCUUUCAGCUGAGAGUAAGAAUCAAAUUACGAUUUCAUAAACCGCCCAAAAGAGGUUCUCUUGUAUCGUCCCAACGACAGGUACAUGUAGAUACCUAUUGUGAAAUAGAAGACAGCGAGAUGGUUCAGGAUGGAAGUAACACCGCGGAAACUGAACCAGAGGUUUAUGAAAUCAUUGAUCAGUCUAAAAAGGACGUAACAAAGUAUGCAGCUUUGCCGUCCAGAAAUAGUGUCUCUAAGUAUAGAAGUAAAACACCAUCCACUUUCUCACUGCAAAAGAUACUGGAAUGUAAUGAAGAGGAUAAAAGGAGAGGGGUACAGAUGAGAAAAGACAAAACAGAUGUGCAAAUUUCACAAAAAAGACUCGGUAAAACCUCUGCACAAGUCAGUGGGUAUAUUGAGAUGGAUAAGAGGACACAGGAGGAUUACGUCUCCAUGGAUGGCGAUAGCCUCGUCAGCGCCAUCGCUGUAUCUAGCGAAAAUGUUGAAAUUGACAAAACAUUUAAUGGUAAUGGAGAGUCAAAUGCAUAAGAAUAUGAGCUUUUAAAAAAACCCUCCAAAUAUGAAUUAUGUUGGGUGUAUCUGAAUAAAUUUCAAAUAAGUA
RNA transcript from Ostrea edulis (European flat oyster), 6457 nucleotides. RefSeq lists it as uncharacterized. The record is from RefSeq and is a predicted model, not a curated record. The transcript has 6 exons. Lineage: Eukaryota; Metazoa; Mollusca; Bivalvia; Ostreida; Ostreidae.